UUGAACGCUGGCGGCAGGCCUAACACAUGCAAGUCGAAUGGUAACAGGAAACAGCUUGCUGUUUCGCUGACGAGUGGCGGACGGGUGAGUAAUGUCUGGGAAACUGCCUGAUGGAGGGGGAUAACUACUGGAAACGGUAGCCAAUACCGCAUAACGUCGCAAGACCAAAGAGGGGGACCUUCGGGCCUCUUGCCAUCAGAUGUGCCCAGAUGGGAUUAGCUAGUAGGUGGGGUAACGGCUCACCUAGGCGACGAUCCCUAGCUGGUCUGAGAGGAUGACCAGCCACACUGGAACUGAGACACGGUCCAGACUCCUACGGGAGGCAGCAGUGGGGAAUAUUGCGCAAUGGGCGCAAGCCUGAUGCAGCCAUGCCGCGUGUAUGAAGAAGGCCUUCGGGUUGUAAAGUACUUUCAGCGGGGAGGAAGGGAGUAAAGUUAAUACCUUUGCUCAUUGACGUUACCCGCAGAAGAAGCACCGGCUAACUCCGUG
Molecule: ribosomal RNA, 489 nt
Filed under: uncultured bacterium
Lineage: Bacteria
Description: partial 16S ribosomal RNA
Rfam family: Bacterial small subunit ribosomal RNA
Source: RNAcentral